Long non-coding RNA from Bos taurus (domestic cattle), 453 nucleotides. The record is from Ensembl. NCBI's taxonomy places the organism in Eukaryota, Metazoa, Chordata, Mammalia, Artiodactyla, Bovidae.
UGCCUCAGUUUUCUCGUCUGAAAUCUGAUGACGAGAGUGCCUACCCCACAGCAUUCUUGAGAGGAUCAGAUGGGGCCACCAUCCAUGGGAAACCCCUGGUACCAUGCUCAGCACAGAGGAAGUGCCGAAGCAACACCAUCAUCAGGGGUGGGCCAAGAGGAGAGGAAGAAACAGCUGGGUGAGGCCCCAGCCAGCCUGCUUCGCUCACCAUUCCCUGCCUGGUUCCUGGAACCUUUGAGUGUGAGACCCCUGGCCCUCCAGUUCUGAGGUUCGGAAUCUCUACAUCUGUAUGAGCCCCCUGUGCUCUGCCUGGAGCUGGAAGAAAUGAGGCACAGAAGGAAAAAGGAGUUAACAGGACUCACAGCCAGACCCAGACUGGGGAUACAAUCCAGGAACACACAAACCACCGAAUUUAUUGUGAAAAGUUUUCUUUUGUGUUGCUAUUAAUAAGUA